Molecule: long non-coding RNA, 405 nt
Organism: Prinia subflava (tawny-flanked prinia)
Lineage: Eukaryota; Metazoa; Chordata; Aves; Passeriformes; Cisticolidae
Exons: 3
Source: RefSeq, a predicted model, not a curated record
AGCAUCACCUGGGAGAGCAGGAUGUCAGCUGGGAAGUUGCUACAUGGCAUCUCUCCAGAACGUGGAAAAAUCCCUUGGAUACUGCAAAGGUUUCAUGGGAAUGCCCCACUGGUGCAUUCCCCAGGAGGGCCCUGCACAGGGUCAGAGAGUGACAGAGCUGUGCACACAGAAAUCCUGUCUGAAAUGAAUCCCUGAUAAAGAGGAAGCCAAGUUAAAAGCUCCAUUUCCAAAGGCCACCACCGGAACUACUGAACAUUUAUUUCUAUUGAAUCCAGCUUAGAAGUUGUGAUCUGAGGAAGCAGGAGACAGGACAGUAUGUUCCACGGCACCGGCUUUUCCCCACCACCGCUCAGCUGAGACACGCUGGCCUUUGAAAUAUCAUUUUUAUUCCUACCUUAAAGAAAC